This 103-nucleotide ribosomal RNA is filed under the name Prolemur simus (greater bamboo lemur). The record is from RNAcentral. Lineage: Eukaryota; Metazoa; Chordata; Mammalia; Primates; Lemuridae.
UCUGUCGGCACCCUGAACGCACCUGCUCUCAUCUUAUCUCGGAAGCUAAGCAGCGUUGGGCCUCGUUAGUACUCGGAUGGGAGAAAUCUGUCAUCAAUCAGAC